UUCUGAUUUGCUGUGGGAUGCUCACA
RNAcentral lists this non-coding RNA (26 nucleotides) under Cricetulus griseus (Chinese hamster). Lineage: Eukaryota; Metazoa; Chordata; Mammalia; Rodentia; Cricetidae. The record is from RNAcentral.